AACGCGAAGAACCUUACCCGGGCUUGAACUACGGAUGGUAAGUCCCUAGAAACAGGGGCUGACCCGCAAGGGAGUCCGCAGAGGUGCUGCAUGGUUGUCGUCAGCUCGUGUCGUGAGAUGUUGGGUUAAGUCCCGCAACGAGCGCAACCCCUAUUCGAUGUUGCUAAUCCCGCAAGGGAUGCACUCUUCGAAAACUGCCUUCGAUAAGAAGGAGGAAGGUGGGGACGACGUCAAAUCCUCAUGGCCCUUAUGUCCGGGGCUACACACGUGUUACAAUGGCCGGUACAAUGGGAAGCAAUACCGCAAGGUGGAGCCAAACCCACAAAGCCGGCCCCAGUUCAGAUUGUGGGCUGCAACUCGCCCACAUGAAGGCGGAAUCGCUAGUAAUCGCUGAUCAGCAGGCAGCGGUGAAUACGUUCCCGGGCCUUGUACACACCGCUAGUC
Molecule: ribosomal RNA, 444 nt
Filed under: uncultured bacterium
Lineage: Bacteria
Description: bacterial SSU rRNA
Rfam family: Bacterial small subunit ribosomal RNA
Source: RNAcentral